This 464-nucleotide ribosomal RNA is filed under the name uncultured bacterium. Its description in RNAcentral is "partial 16S ribosomal RNA". It matches the Rfam family "Bacterial small subunit ribosomal RNA", at positions 29 to 507 of the family's 1533-position model. The record is from RNAcentral.
ACGAACGCUGGCGGCGUGCUUAACACAUGCAAGUCGAACGGAAAGGCCCUGCUUGCAGGGUACUCGAGUGGCGAACGGGUGAGUAACACGUGGGUGAUCUGCCCUGCACUUCGGGAUAAGCCUGGGAAACUGGGUCUAAUACCGGAUAUGACCUUCCAUGUAGUGUGGGGGGUGGAAAGAUUUAUCGGUGUGGGAUGAGCCCGCGGCCUAUCAGCUUGUUGGUGGGGUAAUGGCCUACCAAGGCGUCGACGGGUAGCCGGCCUGAGAGGGUGGACGGCCACAUUGGGACUGAGAUACGGCCCAGACUCCUACGGGAGGCAGCAGUGGGGAAUAUUGCACAAUGGGCGGAAGCCUUAUGCAGCGACGCCGCGUGGGGGAUGACGGCCUUCGGGUUGUAAACCUCUUUCGACAGGGACGAAGCUUCGGUGACGGUACCUGUAGAAGAAGCACCGGCUAACUACGUG